Molecule: long non-coding RNA, 992 nt
Organism: Lynx canadensis (Canada lynx)
Lineage: Eukaryota; Metazoa; Chordata; Mammalia; Carnivora; Felidae
Exons: 3
Source: RefSeq, a predicted model, not a curated record
UGAGCCACCCGGGUGCCCCUGAAUCUUUUUUUGAAGAAGUGUGUCUUUUUUUGGAGCAAUAUAUUUUGUCCAUUUUUAAAUUGGGUUAUUUGUCUUUACUAUUGAGUUGUAAAAAUUCUUGCAGAUAGAAGACCCUCAUGAGAGAUGUAAUUUGCAAAUCUCAUCUCCCAUUUGGUGGGUUUCUCUCCCUUUCUUGAUAGCAUUGUUUGCAGCAUUAACAUUUUCAGUUUUGACCUAGUCUGCCAGUUUAUCUAUUUUUUUUGUGUGUGUGUGUGGUUGUUGCUUCUGUCUUUGAUGUCAUAUAAUUACCUAAACCAAGAUCACAAAGCUUUUAGAGAAUUUGUAAAGACGUUAUUUUACUCUACAGCUAGUACUGCUGGGUUUUUUAUUUGUUCAUUUUAAAUUGUAAACCCUUCUGGGACAAUACAUAUAGCGCACAUUCAUUUUAAUAGCUGCGUAAUAUUCCGUGGUAUAAAUACGCCUUAAUGUAUUCAACCAGUAUCUAUUGAUGGGCAAAAAGUCUUAUUUCCAGUUUUUUGGGCUUGCCCCAAACAAGACUGCAAAAGUCCUUGUACAUUUUUAUUUUGUUUCUGGUGCCUUUGUUCCUGUAGAAUACAUUGCCUAGGAUGGAAUGGGCAGCUUCCUUCAAAAUCUAAGUAGCUGAGAUUUGUUCUGUAUUGGAACGUGGAUACUCUCGUCAGCCGAUUAGGAAAAAAAAAUUAUGAAUCUACUGUAAGCGAACUUUUCAUCACGCAGAGAGAAUAGUGUACUGAACCCCCAUGAACCUCUGACUCAUCUUCAACGUUUAUCAUCUCGGAGCCGAUUCUGUGUCAUUGUUCUGCUCAGCCCAUAUGGCAGCCACCAGUCACCUGCGGCUGCUCCUAGUUGAGGUGUGAACCACAUCCUCCCCAACGGUUUCCAAGUUCUCUCCCUCCCGGGAGCUCUUAAUUCUUCCCUGACCCACACGGAGAGAGAGAGACAGAGACAGAGCG